UACGUAGGGAGCAAGCGUUGUCCGGAUUUACUGGGUGUAAAGGGUGCGUAGGCGGCUUUGCAAGUCAGAUGUGAAAUCUAUGGGCUCAACCCAUAGCCUGCAUUUGAAACUGCAGAGCUUGAGUGAAGUAGAGGCAGGCGGAAUUCCCCGUGUAGCGGUGAAAUGCGUAGAGAUGGGGAGGAACACCAGUGGCGAAGGCGGUCUGCUGGGCUUUAACUGACGCUGAGGCACGAAAGCGUGGGUAGCAAACAGG
This 253-nucleotide ribosomal RNA is filed under the name Ruminococcus bromii. RNAcentral's name for it is "partial 16S ribosomal RNA". It matches the Rfam family "Bacterial small subunit ribosomal RNA", at positions 524 to 776 of the family's 1533-position model. The record is from RNAcentral. Lineage: Bacteria; Bacillati; Bacillota; Clostridia; Eubacteriales; Oscillospiraceae.